GUGCUUGCUUCAGUACCACAUAUACUAAAAUUGGAACGAUGCAGAGAUGAUUAGCAUGGCCCCAUGCAAGGAUGACAUGCAACUUCGUGAAGCAUUCCGUGUUUUU
Arvicola amphibius (Eurasian water vole) is the source of this 106-nucleotide small nuclear RNA. NCBI's taxonomy places the organism in Eukaryota, Metazoa, Chordata, Mammalia, Rodentia, Cricetidae. The record is from RefSeq and is a predicted model, not a curated record.